AGAGAGAAGGUCAGUUCAAUCCAGUGCUCUGAGUUAUUUUUCACCCAAACACUAAGCUCAUGAUUUUUUUCUCAUACUGAUGCCCAGCUCCUCAACCAAGUCAGCAAAGCGACAGCAUUUGGAUGUGUUGACCAAGGCAGGUCAAGAUGUAGGACUCUCAGCUCCUCCUCCAGCAUGUCUGCCUGCAUGCCUCCAGGUCCCACCAUGAUGAUAAUGGACUGAAUCUCUGAAAAUUUGAGAAUUAGCAGCCAGACCAGCAAAAACUCAGAGCUGGAGUGAAGAACGCCACGGUUCCUGUCCUAGAGCUGCCGACUAGCUGAAGAGUCAUCGGCUUCCCCUGUUGGGUUUCCUGUCU
Long non-coding RNA from Peromyscus eremicus (cactus mouse), 355 nucleotides. RefSeq lists it as uncharacterized. The transcript is spliced from 3 exons. NCBI's taxonomy places the organism in Eukaryota, Metazoa, Chordata, Mammalia, Rodentia, Cricetidae. The record is from RefSeq and is a predicted model, not a curated record.